Molecule: transfer RNA, 90 nt
Filed under: Candidatus Aenigmatarchaeota archaeon
Lineage: Archaea; Nanobdellati; Candidatus Aenigmatarchaeota
Description: tRNA-Val
Rfam family: tRNA
About the family: Transfer RNA (tRNA) molecules are approximately 80 nucleotides in length.
Source: RNAcentral
GGGCUCGUAGUCUAGUGGCUAUCAGCAAAAACCAAAUAUGACGUCUGCUUGACGUGCAGAAGGUCAGCGGUUCGAAUCCGCUCGAGCCCA